GGCAGAGAGCAGCCCAAACGCCAUGUGACCCACAACUCACAGCCCAUGUGCCAACCUAAGGGAACCUAGUCACCGGUGACAAGAGGUCGCAAGUAUCGUCCUAGAAGAAGAACCGUACCCACUGUCCAGCUUGAGGGGAAGAAGUGACCGCCUUCACUCAGGCAAACCAAGUUGCUCCUGGUAAAUCUGACCUUGGGCAACACUGGCUGGGCUCAGGACAUCAGCUCUGGCCACAGUGGUCAAAUCUGGCCAAAUCACCGGAAUGUGACGACUCUGUAAGAAGUGGUCAACGAUGUUUUCACAGACCAAGUCCAAUGUCAUUUUUAUCUUACUAGCUUUGUAAAGCCCCUUUGUUUGUUACCACCUUUGGGGAGCCCUCCUGUCUGCUAAGCUAUUGCUGAAAUAAUAAAACAACAACAACAACAAAACAAUAGUAAACUACCAUUUAUCGAGGCCAGUACUAGGUAAAAUUUUUAUAGCUCAGGAAACUGAGGCUCACAAAAGCAUUUCUAAGAUAA
Long non-coding RNA from Molossus molossus (Pallas's mastiff bat), 518 nucleotides. RefSeq lists it as uncharacterized. Lineage: Eukaryota; Metazoa; Chordata; Mammalia; Chiroptera; Molossidae. The transcript is spliced from 3 exons. The record is from RefSeq and is a predicted model, not a curated record.